GUGAGCGUAGCUCAAUGGCAGAGCACUGGACUGUGGCUCCAGGGGUUGAGGGUUCGAGUCCCUUCGUUCACC
This 72-nucleotide transfer RNA is filed under the name Candidatus Methylomirabilis lanthanidiphila. It matches the Rfam family "tRNA". From Rfam's summary of the family: Transfer RNA (tRNA) molecules are approximately 80 nucleotides in length. Their secondary structure includes four short double-helical elements and three loops (D, anti-codon, and T loops). Further hydrogen bonds mediate the characteristic L-shaped molecular structure. tRNAs have two regions of fundamental functional importance: the anti-codon, which is responsible for specific mRNA codon recognition, and the 3' end, to which the tRNAs corresponding amino acid is attached (by aminoacyl-tRNA synthetases). tRNAs cope with the degeneracy of the genetic code in two manners: having more than one tRNA (with a specific anti-codon) for a particular amino acid; and 'wobble' base-pairing, i.e. permitting non-standard base-pairing at the 3rd anti-codon position. Lineage: Bacteria; Methylomirabilota (SeqCode); Methylomirabilia (SeqCode); Methylomirabilales (SeqCode); Methylomirabilaceae (SeqCode). The record is from Rfam by way of RNAcentral.